UCCAAAGUCCUGAGAGAGACCGAAGCC
Molecule: non-coding RNA, 27 nt
Filed under: Homo sapiens (human)
Lineage: Eukaryota; Metazoa; Chordata; Mammalia; Primates; Hominidae
Source: RNAcentral